This 221-nucleotide ribosomal RNA is filed under the name Chaetoceros curvisetus. RNAcentral describes it as "partial Bacterial small subunit ribosomal RNA". It matches the Rfam family "Bacterial small subunit ribosomal RNA", at positions 992 to 1213 of the family's 1533-position model. Lineage: Eukaryota; Bacillariophyta; Thalassiosirophyceae; Chaetocerotales; Chaetocerotaceae. The record is from RNAcentral.
GGAAGUUUUCAGAGAUGAGAAUGUGCCUUCGGGAACCGUGAGACAGGUGCUGCAUGGCUGUCGUCAGCUCGUGUUGUGAAAUGUUGGGUUAAGUCCCGCAACGAGCGCAACCCUUAUCCUUUGUUGCCAGCGGUCCGGCCGGGAACUCAAAGGAGACUGCCAGUGAUAAACUGGAGGAAGGUGGGGAUGACGUCAAAUCAUCAUGCCCCUUAUGACCUGGG